GAUGAACGCUGGCGGCGUGCUUAACACAUGCAAGUCGAACGGGAAUUACUUUAUUGAAACUUCGGUCGAUUUAAUUUAAUUCUAGUGGCGGACGGGUGAGUAACGCGUGGGUAACCUGCCUUAUACAGGGGGAUAACAGUCAGAAAUGGCUGCUAAUACCGCAUAAGCGCACAGAGCUGCAUGGAUCAGUGUGAAAAACUCCGGUGGUAUAAGAUGGACUCGCGUUGGAUUAGCUAGUUGGUGGGGUAACGGCCCACCAAGGCGAAGAUCCAUAGCCGGCCUGAGAGGGUGAACGGCCACAUUGGGACUGAGACACGGCCCAGACUCCUACGGGAGGCAGCAGUGGGGAAUAUUGCACAAUGGGGGAAACCCUGAUGCAGCGACGCCGCGUGAAGGAAGAAGUAUCUCGGUAUGUAAACUUCUAUCAGCAGGGAAGAUAAUGACGGUACCUGACUAAGAAGCCCCGGCUAACUACGUGCCAGCCGCCGCCGUAA
RNAcentral lists this ribosomal RNA (494 nucleotides) under uncultured bacterium. RNAcentral describes it as "partial 16S ribosomal RNA". It matches the Rfam family "Bacterial small subunit ribosomal RNA", at positions 28 to 523 of the family's 1533-position model. The record is from RNAcentral.